This 1010-nucleotide long non-coding RNA is filed under the name Capsicum annuum. RNAcentral's name for it is "long non-coding RNA (CANN_LNC012440)". The record is from RNAcentral. Lineage: Eukaryota; Viridiplantae; Streptophyta; Magnoliopsida; Solanales; Solanaceae.
UGAGCCUUCCCACAAUGAAUACAAGUUAUUAUAACUUUCCAAAAUGAUUGGUUUGGUUAUCAAACAGUUCAUUGGGAUUUUAUGGCCAUUUCUCUAUUUUGGAGCUUUCAUUUUUAAGAAGUUGGUAUUAGAUCAAAACUCCUUAUAAAUGGCCUCAAAUGGAAAUUUUGGUAAUGCUAUCAUCUCUCAAACAUCGACGGUAGGCUGUGGAACCCUUGGUUCAGGUCUAGUGUCUUUCAGAAUGGUUUUAGGUUAUUGGGCAAAAUUUAGUUAAAAUGAACCUAUGGGUAUGAGCCCCACAUUUAAUCAAAACAAUAUUGAAUAAACAUUUUGAUGGUUCUAUUAAUUAUAGAAUGUCAAAUUUGAUAUGGUAGCAUAGUUCAUUUGUGAGCAUAAGGUUUUAAAUGAAUUUCAAGCACCUGGUCAAAAUCAGUUAGGACUUAUCAUUUUUGCCGAUUUCCAGCAUCACGUGCAGCCUCCAAUUAUUUUGCGCAAUUGUAGGGUUUUGGCUACAAUCAUGAGGGAUAAAACUUUUGAACAUCCUAAUUGCAAGCGUUCCCUCUUGCAUUUGUGAUAUAGGAUAGAGCUGAAUAGAUUUCUCUCCCUCUACGGGUUUGCUGAACCUCUCGCGUUUGCGAUAGUUUGCCUUGAUAGGACUUUAAGAUGGCAACAUAUUCCUUGAAUUCAUAAUUAAAAGUCAUUCUACCUAUUAAAAUCAUAUUCAGGGGUCUUUGAGAUUGUGAUAAGUGAUAAGUUGUCAAUUUGACAACUUAUUAGUAAUCUUUUAAGCUUAAAUUAUCAUGUUUUCCAUUGAUUUGAUGUUAAUCUCACGUAUAAUGCUCAUUUGUGCAGGUAAAGGUUGAAAAUAAAUAUGAUCAAUCCAUUCAAGUCAAUGGAAGGUCAAAUAUGAAAGAAAAAAGAGCCCUAAAAAAUCACAUAGACGUGUCAAGAGGCUACCCGCUUAAGCGGGUGGCCAAAAUGGCUAGAACAACCCCAUGUGCGCCCUAUAU